GAAGAGCUUGUCAUCAAGUCAGCCAACUAAGGCUUUAGUUCCACUUCUUCUCUGGGCGCCUAGAAAACAGAUUGGCUAAUCUCUAAGACCACAGUAAUCAUGGGAGUGUAUGUUGGGAUGGAGAAACCAAAAAAUCUAAGCAGUGUGGAAAACUGUGCCAACACGUGGAGAACAGCAACCCUGCCCAGUCUUCCAGAUCUGCUAAAGACUUUGAGUAAAAGGGAGGAAUCUCACAUUAUCCAAAUGCAAGAAUUAGAGGAGCCAUGCUCUGAGCAAUAUGUGGGUCUCAGAGACCCAGAUGUCCCACAUACAGUCUUAUCCCAAGUCUCUGAAGAAAUCAGGAUUUGAAUACAGACUGCCUUGCUCAAUGGUAAGCAGCCAUUAGAAGACUAUGAUACUGGGUAAUGAUUGUUUCCUACAUAACAUUUUAUUGGGGACAAGAGGAAGAGAAUGAGUAUUAUUGGCUAAGGCAGGAUGUGCCAAUCUCUUAUUUAAAAGGAAAGGUUAACAGUGUUUUGUGACUGUGAUUCUAAUGAGACAUAUCGAGAAGCGGAUGUUUCCAUACAAAAUGCUGUCCAGUGUUCUUAUCUUUGUAAGACCUGUGUAUUACAAUUUCAACUUGUUUCAGUCAUCCUUGUCGAGGAGAAAGCCAGACUAGUUGAAAUCAUCAAAUUACUGUAAUUGUGACUUUAUACUAAUCCGGUAAUUAUCCCCUGAAUUCAGUUUCAACACUGAAUAUUUAUAUCUCUAUUAGGGGCAGAGAGAAUUGAAAAAAAUAUUGAGUAUUGCAAAUCAUAAUCUCAGGAAUUUGGACUGAUACAAAGGCAUUACCUUUCCAUCUUAGAAAACUAGUUUGCUCUUUUUAAGCUCUCUGGAAGUGAUGAAAGCUGACUCUCAGCAGGUGCCCUAACAAGUAGAUCCCUGGGAAAAAUCAGCGAAUUUCUACUACAACAGACCUUUUAUUCAAGACAUACAAACUUCCAGUUAUAAAAUAAAUAAGUCACGAGGAUAUAAAAUAUAGCACAGAGAGUAUAGUCAAUAAUACUGUAGUAACUUGGUAUGGUGACAGUUCGUAAGUACACUUAUCGUGGUGAGCAUUGUGAAAUGUAUGGAAAUGUUGUAAUGAUUGGUUUUACUUUUGUAAACCCGCUUUUAGAUUCAGCAAUGCCUGCAAGGUCUGGAAACAACCCAUUGUUGGUGUGGGCUGAAGCAGGAAUACCCACAGAGGUCAGCACACACGGCGGUGUUGCCUGACCGUUCCCCUCUAGGCACCUUCCGGUUACUCUGAGCCCACCUUGCAUGGGCAGCCAGGAGUCCUCCUACCUUGGUCCCUCUUUCUGCUGCUUCUUCCAGCCUGUCCCCUCAGUUUCACCCCUCUGAUGACCCAAAAGGCCACCCAGUGUGGCCCACAUGACAAGUUUUCAUCCCUUGUAUUACAACUUCCACUUUGCCCAGAAUCCUUCUUCCAUCCAGAGUGGCACCGCUACAAGAUGGGCACCUAUCUCUCUUGCUGAUAUUGAUCAGUCCUCACAGGUGUCCCUUGAUUUUUCCUUAUGAGUAACUGUUGUAGUUUGGUGAAGUGAUUGUCAAGCUUUAUUUUAGCACCUAAGUUUCCCCCUUGAAUAAAAACAGCGAAGCAGUCCCUCUAUGUGAAAUAGAAAAAUAGACGCAUACGUUGCUCCUAGAGAAGUGGGGCUGGGGCGCAGGGGCCGUCUCAGCUGGUCUUCACAGCUCCCUUCUCAGCUAAGGCACUCCAGAGCCUGGAGCUUCCUGUUCAGUAUUCCUGGUGAAUCACUCGUCUAGUUCAACCUGUCUACUUUAUGAAGAACUUAGGCCCAGAGAGUUAUAGGUGCAAAUUCAAAGCUUCAUUGCUUGUUUCUGACAGAGCCAAGAUUUGAACUGGCCUGCUGCUCUUUCCCCAGUAGCCCUCCCAACCAUCCUGGCCAGAUGUCCAGCGGGUGUUUUUAACAACUCGAAGCAAGUAGGCAUUUUCCCUAGGAUCGGUCUGAACUACUUGCUUUUAUCAUUGUUGAUGAACUAAAAAGCGCUCCAAAGAGCCACCGCAUCCAAGCUGGUGAUGUGCAGCCUCUCACAC
Molecule: long non-coding RNA, 2095 nt
Organism: Acinonyx jubatus (cheetah)
Lineage: Eukaryota; Metazoa; Chordata; Mammalia; Carnivora; Felidae
Exons: 3
Source: RefSeq, a predicted model, not a curated record